GGAAGUGCCUGUCAUGUCCGAUGGCACAGGGCCGUGUACUUGCGGUGGGCUCAGCUGAAGAAGGCAGCUGACGUGAGAGAGCCUCAGCAGGAUCACCUGGCGUUGGUGGAAACCACACACAAGGGGCCUGGUGACCAAGGCUGGUCAGGAAAGAGAGACCACAAGGGACGCAGCAGGGCCAGAUGCCCCUCUGCCAAAGAAAGAAAGAGGCGUCCCAAAGGGCCAGUGCACGGAGCUGCGCGGAGGGGAGGAGCGGAGUUCCAAUUUGGGCUCCAGAGAGAGAAGCCAGCCGCGGAGCCAGCCGCGGAAAGGAAAGGCGCGUUUGAGGAGAAAAGAGAAAAUCGCCAUCCUGGAAGGUGAGA
Molecule: long non-coding RNA, 362 nt
Organism: Gorilla gorilla gorilla (western lowland gorilla)
Lineage: Eukaryota; Metazoa; Chordata; Mammalia; Primates; Hominidae
Exons: 3
Source: RefSeq, a predicted model, not a curated record